GGGGGCGAAUGGAUUCGACGGGAUUGAAGAUCUGCCGAAUAGCGUGUCGUGGUUUUCAGGAGGGCCACGUUAAUAAACCUGAGAAUCGAAAAUGCCAAUUCUUUUGGCACUGUCGCUUACGCUUAAGUAAGUGACCGUUCUGGGCCGGUCUCGCCUGCAGGCUGGUUCAGAGCGUCGUCAAAGCAGGCUCGUUCCGUUUAUCGGUUUGCGUAAACGGAAUUAAAAACAGCAAACUGGCUUUUACCAAGUUUGUCCGCUGGCACGGUAAAAGCGAGAUUCAGCAACGGACUACACACGUAGCGAUUCUGCAGUUCUCUUUUUCGGACGGGGGUUCAAUUCCCCCCGCCUCCACUC
RNAcentral lists this transfer-messenger RNA (354 nucleotides) under bacterium. Its description in RNAcentral is "JAGNGI01 sp018002295 Standard tmRNA". It matches the Rfam family "transfer-messenger RNA". Rfam says of the family: Bacterial tmRNA, also known as 10Sa RNA or SsrA, is named for its dual tRNA and mRNA-like properties. Its role is to liberate the mRNA from a stalled ribosome. To accomplish this part of the tmRNA is used as a reading frame that ends in a translation stop signal. RNAcentral also lists the same sequence under 1 other name. The record is from RNAcentral.